CAGCAGCCGCGGUAAUACCGAGGGUGCGAGCGUUAAUCGGAUUUACUGGGCGUAAAGCGUGCGUAGGCGGCUUCUUAAGUCGGAUGUGAAAUCCCUGAGCUUAACUUAGGAAUUGCAUUCGAUACUGGGAAGCUAGAGUAUGGGAGAGGAUGGUAGAAUUCCAGGUGUAGCGGUGAAAUGCGUAGAGAUCUGGAGGAAUACCGAUGGCGAAGGCAGCCAUCUGGCCUAAUACUGACGCUGAGGUACGAAAGCAUGGGGAGCAAACAGGAUUAGAUACCCCGGUAGUCCCUGUCUCUUAUAC
RNAcentral lists this ribosomal RNA (301 nucleotides) under uncultured bacterium. RNAcentral's name for it is "partial 16S ribosomal RNA". It matches the Rfam family "Bacterial small subunit ribosomal RNA", at positions 509 to 807 of the family's 1533-position model. The record is from RNAcentral.